GUUUUGUCCUUCGUGAUUGUGUGCCUACUCAGUAAUCGCUGAAUGCCAAAAAGCAUAAAACUGGUUAAGUUUGUGAACUUUCACUACUUUGCUGAAAAAUCGCUGUGAUUGUGCAUUUCAUUUUGCAAAGAUUUAAACUUGUUUGAUUUCUUUAUUUUGUUUAAGCAUCGGACAUCCUCUGCGUAUACGUGAGUAUCGACCUGGAUGUUGUUGCCUAAACGUUCUGCUUUAUUUUCUUUGGUGUUUCGUUUAAGCUUUGGACCUCCUCUGCGUAUACGGAAGUAUCGACCUGGUGGUUAAAGCCUAAACAACUUCAACUUGUUUUAUUUUCUUAUUUUGUUUAAACAUUGGACUUUCUCUGCGUAUACGGAAGUAUCGACCUGAUUGUUAAUGUUUAAACAUUCUGCUUUGUUUUCGCACAUAUCACAGUUCAUGAAAGUUUAAAGGCAUUACUUGAGUUAGUGUAUUGCAUGAUGAGGGGAUAUGCUGAGAUCGUGGGGUCCAUAAGAAUUUAGUGCAUAAUUAAUAUACCUUAACGUAUCGGUAAGCAUUUCGAAAGUUUUUAGAUUGAGCUUAAGUGGACAACAAUAUCGUCAAUCAACGUGAAUUGUUUAGAACUUAAAACGAUUAAAAGCUUAACGGUGCUUGUGAUGUGUCUCAAAUACUGAUAUGAUCCUCUUACACAAACUCACAAAAAUAUGUUUGUACAUAUUUCCUUUCUGCAUUUAAUUUCUGUCUUUACAUUUAUGUUUCUUAUUUUGAAAAAAUCCAAAAAGAUUUUCGACAACUGAUGUUGGAGAGCUGACAUUCAAAAUCUCAAAGGCUAAACAUGAUGAACAGACAGGUUGGUUAAUUGAUUUGAAAUGUUUAAGAUGAUUCAUUAAUUUGAAUCAGAAAUUGGAAUGUGUAAAAUUUGUGAUAAGUUUUAAAAUGUGAUAAUUCUCAAAUGUUUAGUUUCUUAAUCUGUUGAUACGCAAAGCCAGGUGUCGAUCCCAAAAGCACGGAAGCUUGACGAAAGGGGGAGCCUGAAGAAAGAGAGCAACGGAAGCUGAAGACAGAUCCACCGGGAUUCUGUUCGAGCUAGAGUAGUUGAAGACUCUCACUAAAGAUUCCGUCAACAUUCAAGGGGGAGUUUGUUAGUGCAGUUGUCUGUCGACUACAUCUUCGUUCGAGUUUUAGAGAGAGAGAAAGUCAAGUCGCUAUGAGUUUCACUAUGAGAUUGACUACGGCAAUAUCCAAGGGGGAGAUUGUUAGUACACGAAUGUCUAUCGCCUUCGUCAAUCUAAGCAGUAGCAAGAAACCGAAGAAACCAAGUCUUUGUAAAUGUCAUAUCUAGUUAAAAGGCAAGGUGGCAAACUUGUAAUUAAUGAGAACUUUCAUUAAAAUGCCUUGACCUAUAAAUAGGAGAUUAUGUCAUGACUUUAGAAGUUAGUAGUAAGGGUUUUGGAAGACUUUUCUCCAUUUUAGAGAUCUUGGUGAUUCAAGUCUAGAGAGAGAAAGUGGUUGUAAUCGUGAAUCUUGUAC
Molecule: long non-coding RNA, 1524 nt
Filed under: Helianthus annuus (common sunflower)
Lineage: Eukaryota; Viridiplantae; Streptophyta; Magnoliopsida; Asterales; Asteraceae
Description: hypothetical non coding rna
Source: RNAcentral